Micropterus salmoides (largemouth bass) is the source of this 492-nucleotide long non-coding RNA. RefSeq lists it as uncharacterized. The record is from RefSeq and is a predicted model, not a curated record. Lineage: Eukaryota; Metazoa; Chordata; Actinopteri; Centrarchiformes; Centrarchidae. The transcript has 4 exons.
GGACCUGCAGAUGGGGCAGCUUUAGUGACGUGUGCAAAAAUCCAGCACAAGGCAAGACGGCGUAGUGUUGUGUUGGUAGCCAACUGCUUUGUAAGCCGAAGGGGACGUUAUAGCUACGACGUUUAAAAGUAGGGCUGUUAAUGCUAUGUGAGAAACAAUAACGUAAAAGUGUGGGCACCUGUUUAACGAGCUAACUUUAGCGGUCUCCGAGAUUCUUGAGAGGAAUGCAGGAGAAAUUGACUAAACCGUAUUAUUUCCAAACUGUGGAUGACAGUAUGAAGGUGUGAGAGCAGCGUGAUGAGCCAACAGAGUAUCAGAAGAUAGGUAAAAGAGAGACCCACCUCUGUUAUUCCGUCAGCCAGUUAACAGCAGAGGAUGCGACUCCAUGCCCCGUGACCAUGGUCGCUGUGCACGCCAAGAUCAACCUUUGGCAUAUGCAGUGCAACACUAACAUCUUCAAUCUUGACUUCCCAAAGCAAAGGAAGAACGACA